CCUACGGGGUGCAGCAGUGAGGAAUAUUGGUCAAUGGGAGAGAUCCUGAACCAGCCAAGCCGCGUGAGGGAAGACGGCCCUAUGGGUUGUAAACCUCUUUUGUCGGAGAACAAAACCCGGGACGUGUCCCGGACUGCGUGUAUCCGAAGAAAAAGCAUCGGCUAACUCCGUUCCAGCAGCCGCGGUAAUACGGAGGAUGCGAGCGUUAUCCGGAUUUAUUGGGUUUAAAGGGUGCGUAGGCGGUCCGUUAAGUCAGCGGUAAAAUUGCGGGGCUCAACCCCGUGGAGCCGUUGAAACUGGCAGACUGGAGUGGGCGAGAGGUACGCGGAAUUCGCGGUGUAGCGGUGAAAUGCAUAGAUAUCGCGCAGAACUCCGAUUGCGAAGGCAGCGUACCGGCGCCAGACUGACGCUGAGGCACGAAAGCGUGGGGAGCGAACAGGAUUAGAUACCCUUGUAGUC
RNAcentral lists this ribosomal RNA (459 nucleotides) under uncultured bacterium. RNAcentral's name for it is "partial 16S ribosomal RNA". It matches the Rfam family "Bacterial small subunit ribosomal RNA", at positions 338 to 795 of the family's 1533-position model. The record is from RNAcentral.